UACGAAGGGGGCUAGCGUUGCUCGGAAUCACUGGGCGUAAAGGGUGCGUAGGCGGGUCUUUAAGUCAGGGGUGAAAUCCUGGAGCUCAACUCCAGAACUGCCUUUGAUACUGAAGAUCUUGAGUUCGGGAGAGGUGAGUGGAACUGCGAGUGUAGAGGUGAAAUUCGUAGAUAUUCGCAAGAACACUAGUGGCGAAGGCGGCUCACUGGCCCGAUACUGACGCUGAGGCACGAAAGCGUGGGGAGCAAACAGG
This 253-nucleotide ribosomal RNA is filed under the name uncultured bacterium. RNAcentral's name for it is "partial 16S ribosomal RNA". It matches the Rfam family "Bacterial small subunit ribosomal RNA", at positions 524 to 776 of the family's 1533-position model. The record is from RNAcentral.